RNAcentral lists this ribosomal RNA (773 nucleotides) under uncultured Neocallimastigales. Its description in RNAcentral is "partial large subunit ribosomal RNA". It matches the Rfam family "Eukaryotic large subunit ribosomal RNA", at positions 23 to 647 of the family's 3401-position model. The record is from RNAcentral. Lineage: Eukaryota; Fungi; Neocallimastigomycota; Neocallimastigomycetes; Neocallimastigales.
AGAGAGAGACAUGCGCGCAUAUCAAUAAGCGGAGGAAAAGAAACUAACAAGGAUUCCCCUAGUAACGGCGAGUGAAGCGGGAAGAGCUCAAAUUUGAAAUCUUAAAGGGUUUCCCUUUACGAAUUGUAGUUUAAAGAAGUGUUUUCUGUUGAGGUUUUGGUAAAAGUUCUUUGGAAUAGGACAUCAUAGAGGGUGAGAAUCCCGUAUUUGACCUUUACUUUCAACUUUGUGAUACACUUUCAAAGAGUCGGAUUGUUUGGGAAUGCAGUCCAAAAUGGGUGGUAAAUUUCAUCUAAAGCUAAAUAUUGGCGAGAGACCGAUAGCGAACAAGUACCGUGAGGGAAGAUGAAAAGAACUUUGAAAAGAGAGUUAAACAGUACGUGAAAUUGUCAAAAGGGAAGCGUUUGACACCAGUGUUGUUUUUCCGAAAAUCAAUUACGAAUGUUUUGUUUUUGAGGAGUUAUGACUUCAUCGGCUUGCUUCUCUCUUUACGAAACUUUCUUAAUGCACUUUUCGGUUAACAAGUCAACAUCAAUUUCUUUUGUUGUAAAAGGGUACGAGGAAGGUGGCUUUCUUUUCGGAGAAAGUGUUUAUAGCCUCUUGCCUAUGCAGUCGGAGAGAUUGAGGUCUGCAGCGUAGAUCCUUCGGGGCUAAAUGCAUUUGUGCUAAGUUAUAGCAUUUUAUAGACAACUUGUUGACUAUGAUUUGUCUUGUAGCUUACUCGCUUAUGUUAUUUUACCUACGCUUAGGAUGUUGACGCAUGAGAUAUACGC